This 88-nucleotide transfer RNA is filed under the name Candidatus Wildermuthbacteria bacterium RIFCSPLOWO2_01_FULL_47_18. RNAcentral's name for it is "tRNA-Ser". It matches the Rfam family "tRNA". Rfam says of the family: Transfer RNA (tRNA) molecules are approximately 80 nucleotides in length. Their secondary structure includes four short double-helical elements and three loops (D, anti-codon, and T loops). Lineage: Bacteria; Candidatus Wildermuthiibacteriota. RNAcentral also lists the same sequence under 1 other name. The record is from RNAcentral.
GGAAGCGUGGCUGAGUGGUUUAAGGCACCAGUUUCGAAAACUGGCAUCCCGUCUAACGGGAUCGGAGGUUCAAAUCCUCCCGCUUCCG